RNAcentral lists this long non-coding RNA (1356 nucleotides) under Medicago truncatula (barrel medic). RNAcentral describes it as "long non-coding RNA (MTRU_LNC002392)". Lineage: Eukaryota; Viridiplantae; Streptophyta; Magnoliopsida; Fabales; Fabaceae. The record is from RNAcentral.
UCGACCAAAAUCAUAGACACAUAGACAGGUACGAGCUGUUAUUGGAUUCGAACUGGUAACUCGACCGAUAACAUUGAAAAGUAAACGGGUGCAAGUUGUUCUUGGAUUCGAACUGGUUACUUGACCAAACAUAAGCAAAUUGAUAGGUACAAGCUGCUCUUGGAUUGAGCUGGGCACUUGACCAAACAAAAACAUAUUGACAGGUACAAGCUGCUCUUGGAGUGAGCUGGGCACUUGAUCGAUAACAUAUGCAAAUUGACAGGUACAAGCUGCUCUUGGAUUGAGUUGGGCACUUGACCAAACAGAAACAUAUUGACAGGUACAAGCUGCUCUUGGAGUGAGCUGGGCACUUGACCGGGGAUAAAGACAAAUAGACAGGUACGAGUUGUUCUUGGAUCCGAACUGGUCACUCGACCAAAAUCAUAGUCACAUAGACAGGUACGAGCUGUUCUUGGAUUCGAACUGGUAACUCGACCGAUAGCAUAAGCAAAUUGACAGGUACAAGCUGCUCUUGGAUUGAGCUGGUCACUUGACCGGGGAUAAAGACAAAUAGACAGGUACGAGUUGUUCUUGGAUCUAAACUGGUCACUCGACAAAAAUCAUAGACACAUACACAGGUACGAGCUGUUCUUGGAUUCGAACUGGUUACUUGACCAAACAUAAGCAAAUUGAUAGGUACAAGCUACUCUUGGAUUGAGCUGGGCACUUGACCAAACAGAAACAUAUUGACAGGUACAAGCUGCUCUUGGAGUGAGCUGGGCACUUGACCGAUAACAUAGGCAAAUUGACAAGUAAGAGCUGCUCUUGGAAUGAGCUGGGCACCUGACCAAACAGAAACAUAUUGACAGGUACAAGCUGCUCUUGGAGUGAGCUGGUCACUUGACCGUGGAUAAAGACAAAUAGACAGGUACGAGUUGUUCUUGGAUCUGAACUGGUCACUCGACCAAAAUCAUAGUCACAUAGACAGGUACGAGCUGUUCUUGGAUUCGAACUGGUAACUCGACCGAUAACAUAAGCAAAUUGACAGGUACAAGCUGCUCUUGGAUUGAGCUGGGCACUUGACCAAACAUAAACAUAUUGACAGGUACAAGCUGCUCUUGGAUUGAGCUGGGCACUUGACCGGGAAAAAAGGCAGACAGACAGGUGCGAGUUGUUCUUGGAUUCGAACUGGUAACUCGACCGAAAGCAAAGGCAAAUAGACAGGUACGAGCUGUUCUUGGAUUCAAACUGGUAACUCGACCGAUAACAUAAGCAAAUUGACAGGUACAAGCUGCUCUUGGAUUGAGCUGGGCACUUGACCAAACAGAAACAUAUUGACAGGAACAAGCUGCUCUUGGAUUGAGCUGGGCACUUGAC